GACGAACGCUGGCGGCGUGCUUAACACAUGCAAGUCGAACGGAAAGGCCUCUUUCGGGGGGUACUCGAGUGGCGAACGGGUGAGUAGCACGUGAGUAACCUGCCCUUGACUUUGGGAUAACUUCAGGAAACUGGGGCUACUACCGGAUAGGAGCUCCUGCUGCAUGGUGGGGGUUGGAAAGUUUCGGCGGUUGGGGAUGGACUCGCGGCUUAUCAGCUUGUUGGUGGGGUAGUGGCUUACCAAGGCUUUGACGGGUAGCCGGCCUGAGAGGGUGACCGGCCACAUUGGGACUGAGAUACGGCCCAGACUCCUACGGGAGGCAGCAGUGGGGAAUAUUGCACAAUGGGUGGAAGCCUGAUGCAGCAACGCCGUGUGCGGGAUGACGGCCUUCGGGUUGUAAACCGCUUUCGCUCAUGACGAAGCUUUGUGUGACGGUAGUGGGUAAAGAAGCACCGGCUAACUACGUG
This 467-nucleotide ribosomal RNA is filed under the name uncultured bacterium. RNAcentral describes it as "partial 16S ribosomal RNA". It matches the Rfam family "Bacterial small subunit ribosomal RNA", at positions 28 to 507 of the family's 1533-position model. The record is from RNAcentral.